Molecule: long non-coding RNA, 396 nt
Filed under: Sorghum bicolor (sorghum)
Lineage: Eukaryota; Viridiplantae; Streptophyta; Magnoliopsida; Poales; Poaceae
Description: long non-coding RNA (SBIC_LNC018603)
Source: RNAcentral
AAACUAUGGUGCAUUAGGCGCAAACCAUGCACAUAUCUUGCACCGAAACUAACACUGUUUCUAAACAGACCAAAGAGAGAUUCCAUAUGACACACAUCAUCAAGGAGUUCCAUCGGGUGCAUCCAAAUUGAUUUCCAAGCAUAUGGUAUGUUCCAUGCAAACCGUGUACCUAUCUUGCAUCAAGAUUAGCACUAUCUCCAAACAGAUCGAACAGAGCUUCCACUUGACCCUCUUCAUCUAGGAGUACAAAUUGGUGUGUCAAAAAUGGUUUCUUAGACUAUGCUGCAUUAGGCACAAACUAUGCACCUAUCUCGCAGCGAAACUAACAUUGUCUCCAAACAGACUGAAGCGUGAUUCCAUAUGACACACGUCAUCUAGGAGUUCCAUUGGGUGUGU